Molecule: unclassified non-coding RNA, 250 nt
Filed under: plant metagenome
Description: partial contains small subunit ribosomal RNA, internal transcribed spacer 1, and 5.8S ribosomal RNA
Source: RNAcentral
GUAGGUGAACCUGCGGAAGGAUCAUCAUUGAUUAAUUUAAAUUAUGAUGUUUUUUUAAUUUGGUUUAUUUUUAACCGAUUUUAAAAACAUUAUAUAACUUAGUUCUGUGCAUUAUAAUAUUUUAUAACAAUUGGAGUUUUGGGUGAUAUAUUUGAUUAAUUUUUUAAUUUAAUUUAAUUUUUUAAUUUAAUUUAAUUUUUUAAUUUAAUUUAAUUUUUUAAUUUAAUUUUUUGAAUACGCCCAAAUCUCA